Molecule: ribosomal RNA, 549 nt
Filed under: Planiliza abu (Abu mullet)
Lineage: Eukaryota; Metazoa; Chordata; Actinopteri; Mugiliformes; Mugilidae
Description: partial 16S ribosomal RNA
Rfam family: Bacterial large subunit ribosomal RNA
Source: RNAcentral
GGUCCUGCCUGCCCUGUGACCCCUGGUUCAACGGCCGCGGUAUUUUGACCGUGCAAAGGUAGCGCAAUCACUUGUCUCUUAAAUGAGGACCUGUAUGAAUGGCAUAACGAGGGCUUAACUGUCUCCUUUCCCCGGUCAGUGAAAUUGAUCUUCCCGUGCAGAAGCGGGAAUACUAACAUAAGACGAGAAGACCCUAUGGAGCUUUAGACUCUAGAACAGAUCAUGUAAGCUACCUCCAUGAAAUAGGUAAUAACUAUUGAAUCUCUGUUCCCAUGUCUUUGGUUGGGGCGACCACGGGGAAUAAAAAAACCCCCAUGUGGACCGGGAGCACAUUACUCCUACAACCAUGAGCCACAGCUCUAAUGCACAAAACAUUUGACCAUUAGAUCCGGCAAAGCCGAUCAACGGACCAAGUUACCCUAGGGAUAACAGCGCAAUCCCCUUUAAGAGUCCAUAUCGACAAGGGGGUUUACGACCUCGAUGUUGGAUCAAGACAUCCUAAUGGUGCAGCCGCUAUUAAGGGUUCGUUUGUUCAACGAUUAAAGUCUU